Non-coding RNA from Mycena leptocephala, 89 nucleotides. The record is from the annotation of a GenBank genome assembly. NCBI's taxonomy places the organism in Eukaryota, Fungi, Basidiomycota, Agaricomycetes, Agaricales, Mycenaceae.
UCGGGUGUGGUACACGGUGCACCGCUGCAUUCUGUGCGAUGAAGAGCAAGUGAAAGCAGCCAGCCGGGGUUCGACUCCCCGCACCCGAA